GGCCGGGGCCAUGGUGGGGGAGGCUCGGGCCGCGGCGGCUCUGGGGGGUCCCGGGUGCCGUAACCAGGAACGUCCCGCUCUGGCGGCGGCGGGCGGAAAGUACAGAUAAAAAUGGAAAAAAGGCGUCUCUCCAGACUGACACUGCUGCCUGAGGCCACAGCAGCUACGCAGAUGGAAGCAUUUCUGCUAGAUGAAGGGACAG
Corapipo altera (White-ruffed manakin) is the source of this 202-nucleotide long non-coding RNA. RefSeq lists it as uncharacterized. The transcript has 3 exons. The record is from RefSeq and is a predicted model, not a curated record. Lineage: Eukaryota; Metazoa; Chordata; Aves; Passeriformes; Pipridae.